RNAcentral lists this ribosomal RNA (468 nucleotides) under uncultured bacterium. RNAcentral describes it as "partial 16S ribosomal RNA". It matches the Rfam family "Bacterial small subunit ribosomal RNA", at positions 28 to 507 of the family's 1533-position model. The record is from RNAcentral.
GACGAACGCUGGCGGCGUGCUUAACACAUGCAAGUCGAACGGAAAGGCCCUGCUUUUGUGGGGUGCUCGAGUGGCGAACGGGUGAGUAACACGUGAGUAACCUGCCCUUGACUUUGGGAUAACUUCAGGAAACUGGGGCUAAUACCGGAUAGGAGCUCCUGCUGCAUGGUGGGGGUUGGAAAGUUUCGGCGGUUGGGGAUGGACUCGCGGCUUAUCAGCUUGUUGGUGGGGUAGUGGCUUACCAAGGCUUUGACGGGUAGCCGGCCUGAGAGGGUGACCGGCGACAUUGGGACUGAGAUACGGCCCAGACUCCUACGGGAGGCAGCAGUGGGGAAUAUUGCACAAUGGGCGGAAGCCUGAUGCAGCGACGCCGCGUGCGGGAUGACGGCCUUCGGGUUGUAAAACGCUUUCGCCUGUGACGAAGCGUGAGUGACGGUAAUGGGUAAAGAAGCACCGGCUAACUACGUG